UUGGAAGAGACCUUUAGAACAGCUGGUCAUUAUACUAACCGGGUGCCUGCACUAAGUUCAGCAUCAAUAUGGUGACCUCCUGUGAGCGGGGGGCCACCAAGUUGCCUAAGGAUGGCUGAACUGGCCGAGGUCAGAAAGGGAGCAGGUCAGAACUCCCGCACCGACCAGUAGUGGGAAUGUGCCUGGGCAGUAUAGCAAGAUCUUGGUUCUUCAAA
Molecule: non-coding RNA, 215 nt
Organism: Homo sapiens (human)
Lineage: Eukaryota; Metazoa; Chordata; Mammalia; Primates; Hominidae
Source: Rfam